This 343-nucleotide ribosomal RNA is filed under the name uncultured Achromobacter sp. RNAcentral describes it as "bacterial SSU rRNA". It matches the Rfam family "Bacterial small subunit ribosomal RNA", at positions 1033 to 1382 of the family's 1533-position model. Lineage: Bacteria; Pseudomonadati; Pseudomonadota; Betaproteobacteria; Burkholderiales; Alcaligenaceae. The record is from RNAcentral.
CACAGGUGCUGCAUGGCUGUCGUCAGCUCGUGUCGUGAGAUGUUGGGUUAAGUCCCGCAACGAGCGCAACCCUUGUCAUUAGUUGCUACGAAAGGGCACUCUAAUGAGACUGCCGGUGACAAACCGGAGGAAGGUGGGGAUGACGUCAAGUCCUCAUGGCCCUUAUGGGUAGGGCUUCACACGUCAUACAAUGGUCGGGACAGAGGGUCGCCAACCCGCGAGGGGGAGCCAAUCCCAGAAACCCGAUCGUAGUCCGGAUUGCAGUCUGCAACUCGACUGCAUGAAGUCGGAAUCGCUAGUAAUCGCGGAUCAGAAUGUCGCGGUGAAUACGUUCCCGGGUCUU